AACAAACGCUGGCGGCGUGCCUAAUACAUGCAAGUCGAACGGGGAAAGUAGCAAUAUGAGUACUAGUGGCGCACGGGUGAGGAAUACAUGGGUAAUCUGCCUUCAAGUUUGGGAUAACCAGUCGAAAGAUUGGCUAAUACCGGAUAAGACCACAUGAACUGCGGUUCAAGAGGUCAAAGGUUUUUCGCUUGAAGAUGAGCCCAUGUGGGAUUAGCUAGUUGGUGAGGUAAUGGCUCACCAAGGCGACGAUCCCUAACUGGUCUUAGAGGAUGAUCAGUCAAACUGGAACUGGGACACGGUCCAGACUCCUACGGGAGGCAGCAGUAGGGAAUAUUGCGCAAUGGGGGAAACCCUGACGCAGCGACGCCGCGUGAGUGAUGAAGGCCUUCGGGUCGUAAAGCUCUGUCGUAUGGGACUAACAAAAUGAAGGUACCAUGCAAGAAAGGAUCGGCUAACUUCGUGCCAGCCGCCGCGGUAA
Molecule: ribosomal RNA, 478 nt
Filed under: uncultured bacterium
Lineage: Bacteria
Description: partial 16S ribosomal RNA
Rfam family: Bacterial small subunit ribosomal RNA
Source: RNAcentral